Molecule: long non-coding RNA, 347 nt
Filed under: Homo sapiens (human)
Lineage: Eukaryota; Metazoa; Chordata; Mammalia; Primates; Hominidae
Description: non-protein coding lnc-DSP-2:1
Source: RNAcentral
AUGAUGAAGAAAAGAAGGAACAAUAAUUGUGCCAAAAAGAGCCGCGGCCACGUAUAGCCUAUUCGCUGCACAAACUGUGCCCUAUGUGUGCCCAAGGACAAACCCAUUAAGAAAUUCGUCUCUCGAAACAUAGUGGAGACCGCAGCAGUCAGGGACAUUUCUGAAGCGAGCGUCUUCGAUGUCUAUGUGCUUCCCGAGCUGUAUGUAAAGCUACGUUACUGUGUGAGUUGUGCAAUUCACAGCAAAGUAGUCAGGAAUCGAUCUCAUGAAGCCCGCAAGGACCGAACACCCCCACCCCGUUUAGACCUGCGGGUGCUGCCCCACAACUGCCAGCAAAGUCCAUGUAA